RNAcentral lists this long non-coding RNA (203 nucleotides) under Elaeis guineensis (African oil palm). RNAcentral describes it as "long non-coding RNA (EGUI_LNC038579)". Lineage: Eukaryota; Viridiplantae; Streptophyta; Magnoliopsida; Arecales; Arecaceae. The record is from RNAcentral.
GAUGAGCACAUCCUUCAUCCUCAUUUGUUAUAGGAAGAAAUUGCUCUUUCCAUCAUACUGGUUGAUCUCUAUCUUGAUUGAGCCUGUUUUCUCUAUCUUCUUCAACCUUGAUCAACACCACCACAAUCUAGACAAUUUAGUGCUUUGAUAUCACUUAUUAAAAAAAAAUUCCUCAUAAGUGUGGAAUACGGAUCCUCCACCCA